Molecule: RNA transcript, 2934 nt
Organism: Panicum virgatum (switchgrass)
Lineage: Eukaryota; Viridiplantae; Streptophyta; Magnoliopsida; Poales; Poaceae
Exons: 4
Source: RefSeq, a predicted model, not a curated record
AUGCUGGACAAUAGGAGAGCUCCUAAUUCCUUUGAUAGGGAGCUGGAUAAGAAAAGCUCCCCGGAGCGGCUGCUCCAGGCCAGCGACUGGAACUACUGGCUCCUCACCUCCGACCUCGAGAGGGUGGUCGAGCCCAACGUCGCGUACCUCAAGCAGUGCGGGCUCAGCGCCGCCGACAUCGCCAAGCUGCUCGUCGCCGCGCCACGGCUCGUCACCAUGCACCCGGAGUACGUUCAGGACGCCGUGCGACGCGCCACGCAGCUCGGCGUGGCGCCCGGCUCCCAGAUGUUCCGCCACGCGCUCUCUACCGCGGGAUGCAUCGGCCAGGAGAAGGUCGACGCCAAGGUUGCCGUCCUGAAAGAGACGCUCGGCUGGUCGCAGGAGGAGGUGAGCCUGGCCGUCAGCAAGGCACCGCGGAUCCUGGUCGCGUCCGAGGAGAGGCUGCGCCGCAACGCCGAGUUCCUGCUCAACGAGGUCGGGCUGCCGCCGCAGUACAUCGCGCGCCGGUCAGUGCUCCUCGUGUACAGCCUCGAGAGGCGGGUAUGUAGUGCCCCGGCACCUCGUGCUCAAGGCUCUCAAGGAGAAGGGGCUGGUUGAACAAGAUCGGUGCUUCUUCAACGUGGUCGCGCCGACCGAAGAGAAGUUCUUGGAGCAAUUCGUUGCUCCCUACGAGGAAUCCAUCCCCGGCCUUGCUGAUGCUUAUGAGUCUGCCUGUGCGGGGAAGGUGCCAAAGACAUUUCAACAUUGACCGGAAUGGAAGGAGAAUUUGGAGGUCACUCUUUGUCACUAACCAGUACUGUUCUUCACUAACCAUGAUGCUUAAUGGCUGGAAUAUCUUUGGUCCCACUACUUGGUUAUAACUUGGAAAUACAAUUUAACUAUGAAGGAAGGUCUGCAUUUCUUUCAUUGGGCUACGGAAGUACAAAAUUAGUGUUUCCAUGAAGAAGUGAACCAUCUCAGCCAAGCUAUGCACAACGCUGAGGUGUUACCUAGGCAUCCAUUGACAAACAUUUCAUCAGAAUACAAGCAAUACAACGACGUUUGGAUUUUGGAUGGAAGGAAUUCUGCUCUUGUAGAAUUCUUCGUGGCUGUAGAGGCGACUUCAGUUGGACAGGCUAAUAGACUUUGAUUCUGUUGUAUUGUAUGUAAUGUAACCCCAGGCCUGAUUGAGAAAAUUUCCUUUUUGAGAGUUCUCUGAUGGAGAUGAUUCUAUAAAAGAGGUAGAAGCUGUGCAGGGUAGCUGCCAGAGGGAUUUGAACUUUUUUUUUUUUUGAAGAGAAGGGUGUCUGAACUUAAUUUCAUAUAAAGAACAGCAAUGUACAAGUGUCUUUGAGGUUACAUAGAGCUAGCAAACUAGCCCAAGUAGAGGAUUUGAACAUUGACUUCAUGGAGAGUUUGGACUUUGGAGGUGUGUUUGUGUGUCUCCACCAAUUGGCAACCUCGUUCUACUUCUGGAGUUGUGGUCUCAAGCAAUUGUUUUUUUUUUGAAAAAAAUGGACCAAUUGUUUUUCGGCCCAGUCACUGACUCACUGGACCGAAUCCCUCCUACUUGGGCCAAGCAAAUCUCCGGGUCGAGUCGGAAUCGGACUUCGUCGUCGUGGCCACACCACACCAAAAUCCCCAGCUCUCCCCACUCCCCGCCGGCCGCCGCCGCCACCAUGCUCCGCCUCCAAAAACAUGUCCACCCCCUCCACCGCUCCACCUCCCCCAUACACCUCUCCCUCCGGCGCGCCCUCCUAUCCAUCGCCGCCGCGGCCUCCUCCUCCCCGAGCCUCUUCGCCGCGGAGGACUACCUCGUCAGCACCUGCGGCCUCACCCGGGAGGAAGCAGCAAAGGCAGCCGAAUGCUUCUCCCACCGGAAAUCCCCCAUCAACGCCGACGCCGUGCUCGCCUUCCUCACCGGCCCGGCGCUCGGCCUCUCCAAGGCUGACGUUGCGCUCCUUGUGACCAAAGACCCGCGCAUCCUUAACAGUAGCGUCGACAACAACCUGCGGGUCCGCUUGGACGGCUUCCGCAGCCACGGCUUCUCCACCGCGCAGAUCCGCAGCUUCGUCCGUGUCGCCCCCUACGCCUUCCGCACCUUCAACAUCGACGAGAAGCUCGGCUUCUGGAUGUCUUUCUUUGGCUCGCCCGACAAGUUCCUCCGCAUCAUCAGGCGUAACAACCACCUCGUCUUCUCCGACCUCGACAAGGUGGUCAAGGCCAACAUCAGGCUGCUUCAGGUGCGCGGGUUUUCUGUUCAGGACAUUGACAGUAUGUGCGUGACCAACCCGAGGCUGCUCACCUGCAAGCCGGACGUCACCAGGGCCGUCCUCAUGCGCGCCGACGAGCUCGGCGUGCCGCGCAACUCGCUUAUGUUCAGGCAGGCGGUGAACACCGCAGCGGGCCUCAGCCCGAAGACGAUGGCCUCUAAGCUCAAGGUGAUACGCAAGACGCUCGGGUGCUCCGAUGCUGAGGUUGCCACAAUAGUGCAAAUGAACCCGCAGGUGCUGAUGACGUCCAGCGAUAAGCUUCAGCGUGUGUACGAGUUCUUGACCAAGGUGGUUGGAGUUGAUUCCAAGUACAUCCAGGGCAGGCCCACGAUCCUGAUGUACAGCCUGGAGCGCCGCCUAGCACCCCGGAAUUACGUGAUCAAGGCGCUCCAGGAGAAAGGAUUGAUCCGGAAAGAUUUGAGCUUCUACACGAUGGUUACAGUUGGUGAGAAGACGUUCUGCUCCAGGUAUAUACAUCCUUAUAAGGAUGUUCUUCCUGGCCUUGCCAGUUCAUAUGCAUCGGCUUGCAAAGGGAAAAUACCCACCUGAUGCUUGUUAUUAAGGAUUACGCUCCUUUGUUCCAAUGCUUUGAAUCUUCACUGACAAACUGUCUAUCCUGGCUGUAAUUGUGUUUAAUUCUUAGCACAUUCAGAUACCCUGAUGUGCACUCUGCAACUCUUUA